UUUUUUUUUAAAUUAUACUUUAAGUUCUAGGGUACAUGUGCACAACAUGCAGGUUUGUUACAUAUGUAUAAGCUGUUUCACUCUCUAGAAAACCAAAAAGGUGGCAGAAAAAGAUGGUGAAGUCGUGGAAGCAUGUGCACGUUUUUGAAAUAUCUGUUUUAUUUUUUAAAAUGAAUUAGAAUUGAAAUUGUUCCUGCUUAUCACUAACAUUUUAGAAAUACAUUCUUCUGGGUUUAGUUCUAGUAUUCAUUUACUGAGGUAUCAAUUUAUUCACUUAUCUCUUUGUUCUUUAUCCAUUCACAUACCCACACUUGAAUAAUUUAAAUGAGGCUCACCGCAUAUUGUAAAAUACAAAUUAGCCUAUACAAACAAAAUGUUAAAGAGGCAAGUGAUCAGGACAUCACUGAGGGCCAGAGGUGAGGCUUUGUGGUUUAAGUCCUAUGGGUCAGGUCACACAAAGCACCCUUCUGUCCACUCCAAAGAGGAACAUUAUUAUGGCUUUAUCUCUGAUACACCCCAGAAGGAUCUGCAGAGGAAAUUGUGUAGUAGGUGAAGUGUAAGUAGAUGAUAAUGGAAAAAGACAACAGUUAUUCACUGAACUUGAACAAUUCUAACACACAAUCAUUCGUGCAACUCACAUGUUUUGAGCCCUGGCCUUGGCUUAGGAUCUGUGAGCUCCUGGGUUGGACCUUCUCCCAUGCAUCUCCCGCCUCCCCACUCUGGGGUGGCUUCUCGAUGCUUCUCCAGGCUUCCUACUCCCCAGCACCAUGUUUCUCAAGCUCGGCUCUUAACAAUGCCUCUGUCACAUGCUUUCAUUUUAUGUUGCACACCAAUCCUUACAUAUUUAAAAGCAUAAUUUGAGUAUCAGAAGCUACAGUGCAUCUUUCUAAAAACUGAUUUUAAAAAUUCCUGUAGUUUCUAGACAGGGCAGGGUGGAUCACACGUGUAAUCCCAGCACUUUGGGAUGCCACGACAGGAGGUCUUGAGGCCAGAAGUCUGGGAUCAGUCUGGGCAACAUGACCAAAAACCCCAUCUCUACUAAAAAUACAAAAGUUAGCUGGGUGUGGUGGCCCCAGCCUGUAGUUCCAGCUACUCGAGAAGCUGAAGUGGGAAGAUCACUUGAACCUCAGAGGCGGAGGUUGCAGUGAGCUGAGAUCACAGCACUGUACUCAAGCCUGGGCGACAGAGCAAGACUCCAUCAAGAAUGAAAGAAAGAAAGAAUGAAAGAAUGAAUGAAAGAAAGCAGAG
RNAcentral lists this long non-coding RNA (1248 nucleotides) under Macaca fascicularis (crab-eating macaque). Its description in RNAcentral is "lncRNA (ENSMFAG00000062091.1)". Lineage: Eukaryota; Metazoa; Chordata; Mammalia; Primates; Cercopithecidae. The record is from RNAcentral.